RNAcentral lists this signal recognition particle RNA (153 nucleotides) under Proboscia inermis. RNAcentral describes it as "partial Protozoan signal recognition particle RNA". It matches the Rfam family "Protozoan signal recognition particle RNA", at positions 68 to 216 of the family's 228-position model. Lineage: Eukaryota; Bacillariophyta; Melosirophyceae; Probosciales; Probosciaceae. The record is from RNAcentral.
GGUACUGAUACUAUGUCUCUACAUAAUGCGCCAUCAGUGAUAUCCUUUUAUCGGAAGAUGAAAAGGUGUUGUUGGUAAAGAUGUGGAUAACGGGUUAGGCAGGCAACUGAACAGCCUUUACCACACGUGGUGCGUCGAUGUGAGAUUGCAUGG